RNAcentral lists this ribosomal RNA (332 nucleotides) under uncultured bacterium. RNAcentral's name for it is "bacterial SSU rRNA". It matches the Rfam family "Bacterial small subunit ribosomal RNA", at positions 29 to 358 of the family's 1533-position model. The record is from RNAcentral.
AUUGAACGCUGGCGGCAUGCCUAACACAUGCAAGUCGAACGGCAGCACGGCAGUAGCAAUACUGUGGGUGGCGAGUGGCGGACGGGUGAGGAAUACGUCGGAAUCUGCCCAGUCGUGGGGGAUAACUAGCCGAAAGGUUAGCUAAUACCGCAUACGACCGAGAGGUGAAAGCGGGGGACCGCAAGGCCUCGCGCGAUUGGAUGAGCCGACGUCGGAUUAGCUAGUUGGUGGGGUAAACGGCCCACCAAGGCGACGAUCCGUAGCUGGUCUGAGAGGAUGAUCAGCCACACUGGAACUGAGACAUGGCCAGACUCCUAGGGAGCAGCAGUGGG